AUUGAACGCUGGCGGCAUGCUUUACACAUGCAAGUCGAACGGUAACAGGCCGCAAGGUGCUGACGAGUGGCGAACGGGUGAGUAAUGCAUCGGAACGUGCCCAGUCGUGGGGGAUAACUACUCGAAAGAGUAGCUAAUACCGCAUACGAUCUAUGGAUGAAAGCGGGGGACCGUAAGGCCUCGCGCGAUUGGAGCGGCCGAUGUCAGAUUAGUUAGUUGGUGGGGUAAAGGCUUACCAAGCCAACGAUCUGUAGCUGGUCUGAGAGGACGACCAGCCACACUGGGAGAGAGACACGGCCCAGACUCCUACGGGAGGAAGCAGUGGGGAAUUUUGGACAAUGGGCGAAAGCCUGAUACAGCAAUGCCGCGUGCAGGAAGAAGGACUUCGGGUUGUAAACUGCUUUUGUACGGAACGAAACGGCUCUGGUUAAUACCCGGGGCUAAUGACGGUACCGUAAGAAUAAGCACCGGCUAACUACGUG
RNAcentral lists this ribosomal RNA (482 nucleotides) under uncultured bacterium. RNAcentral describes it as "partial 16S ribosomal RNA". It matches the Rfam family "Bacterial small subunit ribosomal RNA", at positions 30 to 507 of the family's 1533-position model. The record is from RNAcentral.